This 429-nucleotide ribosomal RNA is filed under the name Acidobacteriota bacterium. RNAcentral's name for it is "Acidobacteria bacterium partial 16S ribosomal RNA". It matches the Rfam family "Bacterial small subunit ribosomal RNA", at positions 355 to 776 of the family's 1533-position model. The record is from RNAcentral. Lineage: Bacteria; Pseudomonadati; Acidobacteriota.
UGGGGAAUUUUGGACAAUGGGGGAAACCCUGAUCCAGCCAUCCCGCGUGUGCGAUGAAGGCCUUCGGGUUGUAAAGCACUUUUGGCAGGAAAGAAACGUCAUGGGUUAAUAACCCGUGAAACUGACGGUACCUGCAGAAUAAGCACCGGCUAACUACGUGCCAGCAGCCGCGGUAAUACGUAGGGUGCAAGCGUUAAUCGGAAUUACUGGGCGUAAAGCGUGCGCAGGCGGUUCGGAAAGAAAGAUGUGAAAUCCCAGAGCUCAACUUUGGAACUGCAUUUUUAACUACCGGGCUAGAGUGUGUCAGAGGGAGGUGGAAUUCCGCGUGUAGCAGUGAAAUGCGUAGAUAUGCGGAGGAACACCGAUGGCGAAGGCAGCCUCCUGGGAUAACACUGACGCUCAUGCACGAAAGCGUGGGGAGCAAACAGG